AAUAAGUUUAUUUAUGUGUUUUUUUCCAAUGUUUAACUGUCUGUCUUAUUCGAUUAUUUUUGUAAUUAGUAUUUUUGUUGUUAUUAGAUGAUAAAACAGAAAUAGUACUUUAUGCAUGAUUUAUUUUUUAAUUUUUUUAUAAUUUUUCAAAUAAGACAAACGAUCGAUCGUUGGACAAAAAAAACCCAUAAAUGAAUUUAUU
MicroRNA precursor from Oryza sativa Japonica Group (Japanese rice), 202 nucleotides. It matches the Rfam family "MIR812 microRNA precursor family". Lineage: Eukaryota; Viridiplantae; Streptophyta; Magnoliopsida; Poales; Poaceae. The record is from Rfam.